GGUAAACUCUCUUCAGACUCCUACGGGAGCCAGACUCCGUCCCUGACUUUAAUUGCAGGUGGACUUCGCCCAGGCUCCCACGGGAGCCGGACCUCAUCCCCAACUCCGGCUGCAGGAAGACUUCAUCCGGACUCCUACGGGAGCCGGACUUCGCCCCCGACGCCAACUACAGGUGGACUCUGCCCGGACUCCUACGGGAGCCGGGCUUCAUCCCCAACUUCAACCGCCGGUAAGAUCCGUCCGGACUCCCACGGGAGCCGGACUUCGCACCUAACUUCAAUUGCAGGAAGACUUCAUCCGGACUCCUACGGGAGCCGGACUUUGCCCGAUGCCAACUGCAGGUGGACUCCGCCCGAACUCCUACGGGAGCCGGGCUUCAUCCUCGACAUCGACUGCUGGUAAACUCUCUCCAGACUCCUACGGGAGCCGGACUCUGUCCCUGACUUUAAUUGCAGGUGGACUUCGCCCAGGCUCCUACGGGAGCAAGACCUCAUCCCCAACUCCGGUUGCAGGAAGACUUCAUCCAGACUCCUACGGGAGCCGAACUUCACCCGACGCCAACUGCUGGUGGACUCCGCCCAGACUCCUAUGGGAGCCGGGCUUCAUCCUCGACUUUGACUGCUGGUAAACUCUCUUCAGACUCCUACGGGAGCCGGACUCUGUCUCUGACUUUAAUUGCAGGUGGACUUCGCCCAGGCUCCCACGGGAGCCGGACCUCGUCCCCAACUCCGGCUGUAGAAAGACUCCGUCCGGACUCCUACGGGAGCCGGACUUCGCCCCCGACGCCAACUGCAGGUGGACUCCGCCCGGACUCCUGCGGGAGCCGGGCUUCAUCCCCGACUUCGACUGCUGGUAGACUCCGUCCGGACUCCUGCGGGAGCCAGACUUCACACCUAACUUCAAUUGCAGGAAGACUUCAUCCAGACUCCUAUGGGAGCCGAACUUCGCCCGAUGCCAACUGCAGGUGGACUCCGCCCGGACUCCUACGGGAGCCGGGCUUCAUCCUCGACUUCGACUGCUGGUAAACUCUCUCCGGACUCCUAUGGGAGCCGGACUCCGUCCCUGACUUUAAUUGCAGGUGGACUUCGCCCAGGCUCCCACGGGAGCCGGACCUCGUCCCCAACUUCGGCUGCAGGAAGACU
This 1142-nucleotide long non-coding RNA is filed under the name Elaeis guineensis (African oil palm). Its description in RNAcentral is "long non-coding RNA (EGUI_LNC060962)". Lineage: Eukaryota; Viridiplantae; Streptophyta; Magnoliopsida; Arecales; Arecaceae. The record is from RNAcentral.